Molecule: long non-coding RNA, 2123 nt
Organism: Eptatretus burgeri (inshore hagfish)
Lineage: Eukaryota; Metazoa; Chordata; Myxini; Myxiniformes; Myxinidae
Source: Ensembl
CCGGUCUCCCAUGUUUCGUCCAACUCCGUCCACAACUUUUUUGAGGUAUUCUCCUCACAGGUAAACAGACAGACAGGGGUGAAAACAUAUCCUCCUUCCACAUUGGGUGGGGAAGUUAAUAGUAAUUUGUCCUUUUACCCCGACCCACGCAUUUUGUGUUCCUCAGCUCCCAUAAAUAGAGCAGCUCUCAUUGGAGGACUUGUGGGAGGUAUUGGAGGAUUCCUGCUCUUGAUCCUGUUGGCAAUUGCAUUGUUCAUCUGCUACCGUCAUAAAAAGAAAGAGGACAAAUUGAAUAACAAAACAAAGAGCAAAACGGCUACAACAGAAAACACCAAUGCAAGUCCAAUCGAGAAUACAAAAUCGAGCUCUCCAGCAGCUGAAACACAUUCGGAAGGAAAUAUUAAUCCCAGCUUUCACGACUCAUUUGGCGAUCAGAACUCGCGAAACUCAGCAACAUCAACCAUUCCAAGCUAUCCUCCAAGCCUUCUACCACAGAUGCAGUCAAAAUACUUAAACUACCCAAUUGGACAAGAUUACUUGGAUGACAGCAACUGGGUAAGCGUACCAACAUUAAUGUCAUGCAUAUUUGUACCAACUGAUGUAAUACCAUCUCGAAGAAAUUAAAUUUUCAACCUCUCAUUCAUUUCUGCAGAGUGACAGUGAUCAUGAAACAUCCAUGAAUAAUGAUCCAGGAGGAGAUGUUAAAAUCCGGACGAUCACCAUGGUGUGAAGCUGAAUUCGAUUAAGGAAAAAUAAAUAAAGGGAAAAGUGACCAUCUCUCUUCUCCCCAUCCCAACUACACUUUUCUUUUAUACUUCCUUAUCGAAAAUCUGUCUAUCUUUCUCUCAUUAAAAAUGAGUUGUUGUUGAUCAAAAUUUAUUUUCUUUUCUUCGAUGUUAUUCUCUGAUAAUAUAAUUCAUGGAACAAUUCUGAGAUAUAACUUAUGACAGCAAGAGUAUGUAAAAAGAAAUGUUUUCAAACAAACUUUGAUUUUGUAUCAUCAUCGUGUACCUUGGUAUAAUUAUUUAUUGAGGGUGGACAGCAAGAGUAUGUAAAAAGAAAUGUUUUCAAACAAACUUUGAUUUUGUAUCAUCAUCGUGUACCUUGGUAUAAUUAUUUAUUGAAGUUGAAAAAUCAACAACAAAACUACAUUUUGAACAGCAUCACUUUAUUAUGUGUGGGCAUAUGUGUACAUUUUAUGAGGGUAAAAACUACAAUGUUAAAAACCUUCAGGGUCAGAUUAUAAAUAUGUGUUAAAUUUAUAACUUUGAAAGCAAACCGUAUGGAAAAACAGUUCAGGACAGAUCGAGUUAUUCAUUUGAGUUUAGAAUUACUUUUCAUCUCAUGGAUAUUUCACCUGCAUCAUAACUACAAUUUUUUCCCCAUGCAAAUACAUUCAUACUGUUCACAAAGUCUGUAGAAUGAAGAAAAUGUACACUUCACAUUAUAUUUGACAUGUUCAAGAAAAAAAAUCCUUUUUCCCCCCUCAUUGGUUCUUGCUGUCAAAAUGACACUUUUUUUUUUUUGUUAAACAAUUUGCACUUUGUUGAUUAACUCUUAAUCAGUGUACAUAAUGUGUUUUUAAAAAAAAUAUUAUUAUUCGCUUACUUAAAUUGACAUCACUUUCAAAUAAAUGCAACUUUGCCUUCAAAAUAUGUCACAUCUCAGUGAAACACAUUCUCUAUUUCCCACAUCAUUUUAAUGCUCUGACUCGUGUCACCAGUUGUUCUGGACAACAUACAAAUAAAGCCUCACUCUUUGGAAAGAGUGGUGUUUAGGCCUAUCAAUAAUGAAUCCAUCCAUCCAUCCAUCCAUUAACUACAUUGUAUCAUACAGGGUGGACCACAAAAAAAAAAAAAUGGAACCGAUCUUCCCUCCAAUAACUUACUCCCUUCCAAUGAUAUCCUCUUACUUUUUGCAGGUGUGCAAAGUGGAGUUCGUGUAUAGUCAGCAGAUUUGGAUUUAGUCAAGAUAGCCCCAAUUCUUCAACAUGCCAUGAACAACAAAAUAAACUAGCAUCUGUUGAAGACAAAGUCUUCGAUAUCCCCCGCCAUAGUAAAUGAGGACAAGUAGCAAAAGGCACCAGUUCAAUGGGGGGGGGGGGGGGGGGGGGGGGGGGGGGG